This 17-nucleotide microRNA is filed under the name Corchorus capsularis. RNAcentral describes it as "sRNA CCACVL1_05361". The record is from RNAcentral. Lineage: Eukaryota; Viridiplantae; Streptophyta; Magnoliopsida; Malvales; Malvaceae.
AGGGUGUGUUUUUUUUU